RNAcentral lists this ribosomal RNA (268 nucleotides) under uncultured prokaryote. Its description in RNAcentral is "partial 16S ribosomal RNA". It matches the Rfam family "Bacterial small subunit ribosomal RNA", at positions 524 to 794 of the family's 1533-position model. The record is from RNAcentral.
UACGUAGGGGCGAGCGUUAUCCGGAAUUAUUGGGCGUAAAGAGUGCGUAGGUGGUCUUGUAAGCGUGGGUGAAAGGCAGUGGCUUAACCAUUGUUAGCCUUGCGAACUGUGAGACUUGAGUGCAGGAGAGGAAAGUGGAAUUCCUAGUGUAGCGGUGAAAUGCGUAGAUAUUAGGAGGAACACCAGUGGCGAAGGCGACUUUCUGGACUGUAACUGACACUGAGGCACGAAAGCGUGGGGAGCAAACAGGAUUAGAUACCCUGGUAGU